CCUACGGGUGGCAGCAGUGAGGAAUAUUGGUCAAUGGCCGGAAGGCUGAACCAGCCAAGCCGCGUGAAGGACGAAGGUGCCAAGCAUUGUAAACUUCUUUUGUCAAGGGACAAAAUCAGGCUCGAGAGCCUGACCGAGGGUACUUGAAGAAAAAGCAUCGGCUAACUCCGUGCCAGCCGCCGCGGUAAUACGGAGGAUGCGAGCGUUAUCCGGAUUUAUGGGGUUGAAAGGGUGCGUAGGCGGACUGUUAAGUUAGCGGUAAAAGCCCGGGGCUCAACCCCGGCGAGCCGUUGAAACUGGCUGUCUUGAGAUGUCGAGAGGUAUGCGGAAUGCGCAGUGUAGCGGUGAAAUGCUUAGAUAGUGCGCAGAACUCCGAUUGCGAAGGCAGCAUACCGGCGGCGAUCUGACGCUGAGGCACGAAAGCGUGGGUAUCGAACAGGAUUAGAUACCCCUGUAGUC
This 459-nucleotide ribosomal RNA is filed under the name uncultured bacterium. RNAcentral describes it as "partial 16S ribosomal RNA". It matches the Rfam family "Bacterial small subunit ribosomal RNA", at positions 338 to 795 of the family's 1533-position model. The record is from RNAcentral.